UGCUCACAGUGGCAACACGUAUACAGCCAAAACUGAAAUAAUCCAGAGAAGAUCAGUAUGUCCCACAUUCACGGAUGAAGUGCAAUUUUGUGA
This 93-nucleotide small nuclear RNA is filed under the name Cervus elaphus hippelaphus. The record is from RNAcentral. Lineage: Eukaryota; Metazoa; Chordata; Mammalia; Artiodactyla; Cervidae.